GGGGUUGUAGCUCAGUGGUAGAGUGCUUGCCUUGCAUGCACAAGACCUUGGGUUCGAGCCUCAGCACCA
This 69-nucleotide transfer RNA is filed under the name Ictidomys tridecemlineatus (thirteen-lined ground squirrel). Its description in RNAcentral is "Spermophilus tridecemlineatus (thirteen-lined ground squirrel) tRNA". It matches the Rfam family "tRNA". From Rfam's summary of the family: Transfer RNA (tRNA) molecules are approximately 80 nucleotides in length. Their secondary structure includes four short double-helical elements and three loops (D, anti-codon, and T loops). Lineage: Eukaryota; Metazoa; Chordata; Mammalia; Rodentia; Sciuridae. The record is from Rfam by way of RNAcentral.